Cynoglossus semilaevis (tongue sole) is the source of this 8256-nucleotide long non-coding RNA. RefSeq lists it as uncharacterized. NCBI's taxonomy places the organism in Eukaryota, Metazoa, Chordata, Actinopteri, Pleuronectiformes, Cynoglossidae. The transcript has 2 exons. The record is from RefSeq and is a predicted model, not a curated record.
UGUACGCAGGGCUAACCUUAUUAAUUUAUUUUAAAUAAAGCUAAAGCUUACACAGACUAGCUACUGUAUAGCGCUAAAUGUGUUUGAUCCUCCUUUUUUUAUAUUUACAUUCAGUUACAUUAGUUUUAGUAUUUGUCUGAAGAUUACCGUGUGGCCAAUUUAUGAACUGCCAUAAUUAACUACCCAUUUCCCGCACGGUGUUUUCUGUUGAGAUCACAAAAGCCACAGAAUAUUGUGUAAUUAGGGCAUACUUUACACACAAAUGCACUCACACACACACAGUCUCCAAACCAAAACUCUCAUAUGACCCUCAGCCGAUUCAACCCGACAGAAAUUCUUGGCACAAACCUCCCACUCUAUUCACUGGCUGCUGUUCAGCUGUCAUACUCACUCGCUGCACUCUCUCCCUUUUGUAACUGGGAGCUGUGUGAAGAUGAAUGCACUAAUAUAAGCUGUCGCUUUUCACAGGCAACGUGUUUAUACAAAGUCAGGCAGUCGUUCAGGGUCAGAUAUGAUGAGGCAGAGUCGACGCUGCCGGGCGACGGCGGCAAAAAAUGAUACAGCAGGUUUAAACAAAAGCACGGCAAACUAUGGUUAUGUCGUGGACAAUCGUACCCAUGAUCCUCAACGUCAAAGAUAUAAACAUCCAGGGAGGGAGGAUAUCCAAAAAAUACAGUAAUUCCAAUGACAAGAGGCAAAGGAAAUAUUAAAAGAAAUAAAAGAAAAAGAAAAUAGAGAAGCAAAACAUUACUUGGGGUUAACUGUGAAAUUAAAGCUAAAGGGGACUUUUGGGAAUUUUGAUAAUGCUUGAUUAAUUGCCUAUUUGUCUAAAGCUCAAUAUUAAUUGUGAACCCAUGGCAUUUUGCACAGUUAUUGCAACAAUCCAAAACAGGGAUAAAUAUGGUCCAGAAUAUUCUCCAGAAUCAGCUCAGAAUUUAUUACAAACUGGCUAAAUUGCUUAACAGGUUACUUUUUUAUUUUUUUUAUAAAACAGUUUACUUCAUCCGUAUCUGAUGUUGCCAAAUGUUUCAGCUGCAACGCUUCACUGCUUCCUGAUUUCCCCCAUUCACAUGGUGGGUUCAAGGUCAGAUCUGAAGGUCUGUGUGUUACAGUAAUCCCACAUUCAAAGAUGCUGUUGUUUUUACCGUUACCUUGGUUUCAUUUGAUCAAUUUUGACAGCCCUAAUAUAAAUAAACACCAAAACCUACAUUGCACGUUCCAGAAGUUUCUGAAAGCCUCCAUACGUGAUAUGCUGAUGAAAAUAUUCAGUGUUUGUUCGAUACAAAACCAACAGAGCUCACAGAGGUGCCAUGAUGUGUACGAGAAAAUAGCAGAUACACACACACACGCACAGACACACACUCUCUGCCAGAUGAGUGUGACUUGUUUACUGCAGCCCUGCACGGCCCCGGCCGGGGCCGUUUGGGACACCCAUGGGUGCUGUGUAGCUCUUGGAAGGCAGACGUGGGGUGAAUGACAGUGGAGAUAGCCUCGCGCCAUCACUGCCACCUGAACCUCCCUGAGCUGAGAUGCUGGCCUAACACACACACACACACACUCAGAAGUUCACCAGGUCAGACGCAUCAAAACAACCUGCCUGCGGUCAUCUCAAGUGCAAGAAUAAACCUCUGCCGUCACACGACCUUUAUUCAGCACUUUUAUUUUCUAUAUUUAUAGAGAGCUGUAUAUACUCCUGGCUAAUCCUGUUUAUAGACUAACAAAGACUGAUGCCUGGAUCACAUUUGUUUUCCACUUUUUGUUUGGGACUGAAAAAAAACUUAAUAUUAUUCUAAAUAUUUUUAAUUUUUGCAAUGGCUAAAAUUGAUCUCUUGUGCCCCUAGUGGUCUAUACCCUUCGAAAACAUUUCGGUGGGCAACGGUAUGAAGCUAGGACGAGCAAAACAGAACGUCGUUCUCGGUCGUACUUGUUGUCGGUUUUUGUUGACCUUGUGUUGUGUUUCAGUUACAGUGCCACAUUGUGGACAUAGUAAGUGUUGCAUGCUAAAUGUCCCCACCUUUUGCCGCUGUCCGGGGUUCUUCAGAUUCCAUAUAGCUAAAACUUUUAUAUCCAAGUCCUUCGGUUGUCCUUUUAUUGCCUUUGUUGGGGUCACAUCAGGACCUGACAUUAUCAGCAGCAGGGAGGAGCUGAGGACCAUUCAAUGCCGGCCUUGUCUUAUCAGUGUUAUUGGUAGACACACAUAUAACCCAAACUUGCACACAAAGGCAGCUGUUCCCAGACCCACAAACACACCUUUUUUUCCGUCUAGUAUGUGAUCUAUCCACUGUGUUACAAGACGUACAGUAAAUCAAUCCCACAGGCAUUGCAUAAUAGUUGGCAAGCUGAGUCCAAAUAGCAAAAUAAUCACCUUGUCAACUGGUCUGCUCUGGCUCACGCCGGCUGGAAAUAAAUAAAAUCACAAGGUCCCUCUGCAGCUUCCAGAUAAACAAGUGUGUUUACACAAAGUAGAGUUAUGAAGCUGCCUGUCUGAUGUCCAAAAAACUUUGACUGCGUGCCAGUGUUCUCUGAGAGAAACCACAUCUGGUCAACAAGUAUUAGUCAUGAUCACAUGUGCGGUGCUAAAUACGAAUCACCUCUUUUGAUUUGUCAACAUGUUUGUCUUGUACAAUAGGUUGUUGAUAAUCAUCUGGGAACAAGAAUAAGGAAGGAAGCAAAAAAAAAAUCUUCUAUCUCUUCUGUCAGCCAUGUUUUCAUUGAAAAAAAAAGAUACUUUAUUGCAUGUCAAGAUCUAUUGUUUUCAUUCAUUUCCUGCUGGGGAAAAACAGACCUUUACCGCAUCCCUUUGCAAAGCUUUGGUGUUUUCAGUGGGUUUCCAUUUCAAUUUGGUUAAAUAUUUAAAUUUGAUUUAAUAAGAUAUCUUUAUUUUUAUAUCAAACCUGACCAGAUUAAUGUCUUUGUCCGGUUGAAAAAAUAAUUGCAAAGUUUGUUGUAGACGCAUUAAAAAAGACGUCUUAACACGUUCUUAGAACUCUUUGACCUCCCCUCAUGUUUUUGAUUCAGGUGCAGUCUAAUACAAUGUUUCAAAACCCCUGGGUUGUGACCCGGAGUUUGGUCACAGGACCGCUUAAUGUAGAACAUUCUGGUUUAGUUUGGUCGUCCAGGAGAACAUCUCCACCCAGACUGUAGUGGACAAUAUUAGUAGUACUUUUCUGUAGUAAUACUUGCUUUGAAGACGUUGUCUUUGUCCAAUAUGUCCAUUAUUCCAUUUUAGAAUAUGUCCAAACUGUCUUUGCUCGUCUCUCACUCUUUCAAAUGCCCGUUGUCUUUCUGGUUCGAUUGUCUCUGAAUCCAUCGUUCUUUGUCACGAUCCUGUUCAACGGUGCCACCUUCUGCUCAACCUCCCGCUCUCCUUAAACCACUCAGAUGGCAUCGUGGGCAAAGUCUUUUCAGUUUUUGUUUAGGUUCAAAACAUCAAAGCCAGGCUGCGACAUGCUGGUGUUUGACGAGGUUUGCGUCGCGUCACCGUCGUCCGUGGUCUACGUCGUGCGUUGGCACAUUUCGUUUCUACCUUUAAAUUAGGAUGUAGAGGUUGUUGCAUCAACCGUUUUUGGAUUUUACUCUCAGCAUCUCUGCUGCAAAAUUAAACUCAGUUGGAUCCUGUUUCAUCUAAUCCUGUGCCUCCACACACACCUUGGUAUUAUCUGCAUUUAACAGCUUCUUCACUGCCAGUGCUGUGCCAUCACACAGGUUGUUGUUGUGUCGCUUGCUCUGGUUGCGAAACGCAGCUUUUUUUUAUUGAUGUAACAGGUGCUUAGCUCGACUGCGGCAGUCAAAAUAACACGUCUCCUCGCUGUGUUUGGCUUUCAGGAUGGAAGCUAAAGUUAGACAUCUUUGAGGUUUUUCUGCCACUUGAUGGAAGGUGAUGCCAAUGCAUAAUGCAUGAGGAGAGAGGGAAGACUUUGUCUGGCUGCUUUUUAUAGAGCAGCCAAGCUCGGCUACUGCUGCUGCACACACACAGACACACACACAGACACAGACACUUCCCUGAGCCAACCGUCUCGUCUCACUUGACGCUCUGUAACCUCUCACAGAUCAUGAAAGCAGGAGCAGGAAAAAAACAGGAAUUGAGCAAACUGGCAACAUUGUUGAGAAUAAAGGGAAGAAACAAGGAAUAAGAAAAAUCAGAAAUGUUGAUGCUCUAUUUUUGAGACAGCCAGGUCUUUUGAUGCGCAAACCAAACGAGAACCACGGGGGAAGAAAGAGAGGAGCAAAACUGGCGUCUGGCUCAAAGACGAGCUUUAACAGAAAUACUUUCUACGUGUGAUCCUCCACGCUCUCCUUCAUCUCGGCGCCCGUCGUUCCGGUGCUUCACUCAAAGUCACUUCAGGUGGAGUUAAAAUGAGGGGUGAACAACACGGGUUAUCACAUGAGAAGGUGGAGGGAUGGGGUGGGGGUGGGGGCGGUGAAGCGAGUAUGUCAAAUGAUUUCCAGCCAUGCUGAGCGUCAAUCUCUGGGUUGCAGAUUUGUCUUGCAAACCCCAUUUGCUGCCCUGAAAAGUGUGCAGUUAUUUUCUCCUAUCCCUCUAAUCCUUAUUUAACUUGGCUGGUUGACUAAGAGCACACUGUCAUUUAUAGUAAUAGCCUGAGGGGAGAAGAUGCAGGGGGCUGCACAUAUUCACGCUCACACCUGUGUGCAGCCCAGAACCACCGCACUGUGAUGGACCAGACUGGAGGUCACUGAUCUGCUGCACUGGUUUUAUCUGACUAAUAUUUUAGGCACAUGAGGGUAUAUAUAUAUACCCUUUUAUAUAUAUAUAUAUAUAUAUAAAUAUAUAUUAAAAAGUGAUUUACCGGCUUACUUCAAAAUGUCAUAUGAGGUGUUGGGUUGGACAAUUUCAGUGUUGUCAAAAUGAACAUGUUAAACGUGUUCGUGAAUUUGUGAAAUUAAUAUGAUCAAACAUUUCAAUGAAAUGUCCAACAAUUUCAUCGUUGACCAUCGUUACCAGAGGCUUUAACUUCAGAUCUGACACCCAGCUUUCGUCACUGGUGUCAGAGUUCACAAAUCACUGUCAGAGACUAAUGGCUGAAAUCCAACAACUCCAUGAAGCUAAAUAUUGAGAAAUAUUUUUCCAUAUUCAGAAUUCCAUCGGUUGGAAUAAUCACAGAAAAAAACAGCUGUGAAACACAUGUAUCAUGGACUUGAAGUUUUUCGAUUAAUCGUGAUUAAUUACAAUCAGAAUCAGCGCUGUUAAAUGGUGAUUAAUCAGAGGGCAAAAAAAAAAAAUGUGUUAAUCAUUUGUCGGCCAGCAUGUUACUGUUAAAGGAGUCUUGAUUCUCAGCUAAAGGAGGCAAACUAUUCCGACAAGUGUCUAAUUGUGCUUCCUGUGCAGGAACAGACUAUUUUCACCUAAUCCCAGUCACAUACCCAGAUUCAGCCAAAGCUCAGAAGUUAGGAUUCUCUCAGUAAUACCCUGCGUCUUACUCGGAAAGCCAUUUAAUUCUCUCUCUCUCUCUAUCUAUCUAUCUCUCUCUCUCUGCUACAGUGUGAACAGUUUCCAGCCUUUGACAAAAGUCUUUUUAUUCAAUCAGAGGUGACAAUGAGGAGAGAAACUGUCCCGGAGGUCACAGUUCAAAAUCAAAUCCCCAUGACGGCAAGAUGGAAUUUUUCAGGAGCAAGAUUUUAUCAACGGUAGCCUCCCCUUUGGCAAGACACGAAAAUACCAAAUACCAGGAGUGUCAUGUUCAAGCAUCACUGCAGUGAAUCUGAGGACAGAUCAUUUAAACCAGACUAAUUUCAGGGUUAAAAAAACAGUUCUUCCAGGUCACAUUCGAGCACAUUUUUCAGUAUUUUUAAUAUUUAUAUUUAAAAUGUUUCAGGUUCAAACUACAAAAUGAUGACUUUCUAAAAAGUGAUUCAUUUAAAUUCACUGUCUGAGGGAUGGAAAAGUUAGAAUCACUUAAAUCAUUUGAAGCCAUUAUUUGGAAAAUUAUUCUCUGGUGCUCGAAAAUAACUGAAAAUGUCAACAUGGGUUGUAGACAAAUAGCUGUCUAGAAAUUUCAUUGGAUUUUUCCAUACCCAUUGUUUUGUCACUUUAAAGCAGCAAUAGUUUGGAAAAACAUCCAAUUUUAUAACAUUUUAGCCCAGAAAUAGUCAUUUCUAUUUUCACCAAGCUUUGACUAAGACUUGCCAUAAUGGAAUGAAAUGUAAACAAAAACUAAUAAUAAGCUUAGCCAUAAAUAAUGAAUACAUUCUGUAAUCAAAUGUGCUCAAAUCAGCAGCACUGAAAUGUUCAAAUUUAGCUACAAGCCAAUUCCUGGAACCGUCUUCCGAAACUCCAGCUCAGUCUCCUACUUCCGAACUUUUCUAUUUAAAACACCUUAACAGUAAGGAAUAGCCCGGAUUUAUCGGAGGAGGCUGCAGGGAGGGCCGGCAAGCGUCGCGUAAAACCAUCAGGAGUCAGUGCUCUUACAUUAAUUAGCAGUGUAGCUCAGGACAGCUCUGGUGGGCGAUCUCAGACAUGACUGAUUGGAUUUUAAUGAAACUUGUGGAAGUCAUUAAUCCACGUGCUUUACAGCCUGCUGUCAAACUUCAGCCUCAUUAUCAAAAUGGCACCGAUCACAUCGCGCAAGAAAUGAUGUAUGGCGUCGUCGCGUAAAGUUGGCGUCCUGAUUACAGGUGACAUAUAUAUUUUUGAUUGGCUGCGACAUCGGCUCACGGAAGAAAACAUGUUUUUGUUGUUGUUGUUGUUGUUAUUUCGUUACCUGGAGAACAUGAUAUAGCUGUUUUCCUCUGGAGACACCCGCAGGGCAAACUUGAGGGUGGCGGUGUCUGGAAUAUUAUAAAUAACACAGCCAAGGAUGAAUGUUUGUGGCACCUUCCAUUCCUCCCUCCCUCCCUUCCUCCCUUCCUCCUUCCAUCCUUCUGUCUCUCCUCUUGCCCCGCUACUCAUCUAUGCUCGACACGAGCGCCUCGGCGUUGGCGUGUGUGGCUUGAAUUUAUAUGAACGUCUCCCUGGCGAGGGACAACGGGGGCCCGAGUCAUUGAUAUGUGCAGGAGGAUUCAGGAUAAACAGCCUCAACGCCAAGCGCUGUUACAGCCAGUCUGCCUGAUACAUUCUGAUUGAGCAAAAGACAGAGAGGUGGAGCUGGGAGGCUGGGAGGGUGAUGGAAUUGAGGGUGGAGUGGUUUGGAGGGUCGGAGGGGGGAGGGAUAGAAGCUUAAUAAGCUCAGGAUAAAAUGACAGAAAAGGGAGCUUUUGUUUUCACCUACUGCUCCAAAAUGGAGCCCCAGUAAACCACAUGGUGCCUGGCCCCAUAAACGGGCCGCCCCGGUCCUCGUACACUGCUGAUCUUGUCUAGUCGACCUCUCGGAGUGUUUCCCACUACGUGUCAUUCACCUCUUUCACAUUACGAUUCAUAAAAUAUAUGCUCACGUCUGUUCCUAGAUCGGUGUCACACUGGGACACUUGGACUUAAAGACAUUUGAGAUUGAACUUCUGACUCUCUGACAAGAUCUGGUUCGAGGCCCAAUUCUGGGACUUAGAUAUAUAUUUUUUAUUAUUGUUGUUAUUAUUUAUUUCUGUAUUUCUGUGUUGCUGGACCAGCUUUUAAAAAAAUGUGGUUUUGUGUGUACUUUAAGGCCAGUAUGAUUUGUUAGACUUAUAACUUUGGGAUAUCAUUAAGGUUUUUAGCCAUUUCUGAAUUUAUAUUUAACUAAUAUUUUGGGCCAUUUUUUAAAUAUUUUUUUCCCUCAUCAAUUAAAAUAUUUAUACUUAGCCUGGAUUUUAUUAUAAAUAUAUAUUUAUAUAAUUUUUUUUUGUUAUUCUUCAGCUCCAUCGGACAGAGCCAUUAGUCAUGUUAGAGGAGCCUAAAAAAACAGGGAAAGAUUCUUUCGUUUUACAUGUAAAUGUUUGCAAACAACAUUUGUAUUAUACAAACAUUAGGCAACUAAUUACUGAACAUACAGUUUUAUUUACUAGGAGGAGAAGCAGCACAUUUUUUCAGUAUCCAACCUCGGCUCUUGGAACAGGUUUGACCGUCCCUGUUUAACAGCAGGACGACACAGACAAAUAUCUGUGAUGUCAUUAUUGUUCCCAUUAUUGCCCACUUUAGCCCAUAAAUAGGAGCUGUUAUUUACUCGUGUCCCAACAGUGGUUUUUCCUUUAGCUACGUUCCUUCACAGCCAUUCUUUUGUGUGGGUGAGCACCAUCAUCACUAUUCCCCUCUUCCCCUCUCUCUUCUCCUGCUGCGUUUGUCUGGGUGACAUGGUCAGCCUCUUAAUGGACUGGAAAUUCAUGGUG